UACAGAGGUCUCAAGCGUUGUUCGGAAUCACUGGGCGUAAAGGGUGUGUAGGCGGUGUGUUAAGUCAGAUGUGAAAGCCCGGGGCUCAACCUCGGAACUGCAUCCGAUACUGGCAUGCUAGAGAAUUGGAGAGGAGUCUAGAAUUCACGGUGUAGCAGUGAAAUGCGUAGAUAUCGUGAGGAAUACCAAGUGCGAAGGCAGGACUCUGGACAUUUUCUGACGCUGAGAACACGAAGGCCAGGGGAGCAAACAGG
This 254-nucleotide ribosomal RNA is filed under the name uncultured bacterium. RNAcentral's name for it is "partial 16S ribosomal RNA". It matches the Rfam family "Bacterial small subunit ribosomal RNA", at positions 524 to 776 of the family's 1533-position model. The record is from RNAcentral.